AGUGAACGCUGGCGGUAGGCCUAACACAUGCAAGUCGAACGGCAGCACAGUAAGAGCUUGCUCUUACGGGUGGCGAGUGGCGGACGGGUGAGGAAUACAUCGGAAUCUACUUUUUCGUGGGGGAUAACGUAGGGAAACUUACGCUAAUACCGCAUACGACCUACGGUUGAAAGCAGGGGAUCUUCGGACCUUGCGCGAUUGAAUGAGCCGAUGUCGGAUUAGCUAGUUGGCGGGGUAAAGGCCCACCGAGGCGACGAUCCGUAGCUGGUCUGAGAGGAUGAUCAGCCACACUGGAACUGAGACACGGUCCAGACUCCUACGGGAGGCAGCAGUGGGGAAUAUUGGACAAUGGGCGCAAGCCUGAUCCAGCCAUACCGCGUGGGUGAAGAAGGCCUUCGGGUUGUAAAGCCCUUUUGUUGGGAAAGAAAAGCAGCAGGUUAAUACCCCGCUGUUCUGACGGUACCCAAAGAAUAAGCACCGGCUAACUUCGUG
This 492-nucleotide ribosomal RNA is filed under the name uncultured bacterium. RNAcentral's name for it is "partial 16S ribosomal RNA". It matches the Rfam family "Bacterial small subunit ribosomal RNA", at positions 29 to 507 of the family's 1533-position model. The record is from RNAcentral.